This 392-nucleotide ribosomal RNA is filed under the name Microcystis aeruginosa. RNAcentral's name for it is "bacterial SSU rRNA". It matches the Rfam family "Bacterial small subunit ribosomal RNA", at positions 53 to 488 of the family's 1533-position model. The record is from RNAcentral. Lineage: Bacteria; Bacillati; Cyanobacteriota; Cyanophyceae; Chroococcales; Microcystaceae.
ACAUGCAAGUCGAACGGGAAUCUUCGGAUUCUAGUGGCGGACGGGUGAGUAACGCGUAAGAAUCUAACUUCAGGACGGGGACAACAGUUGGAAACGACUGCUAAUACCCGAUGUGCCGCAAGGUGAAACCUAAUUGGCCUGGAGAAGAGCUUGCGUCUGAUUAGCUAGUUGGUGGGGUAAGAGCCUACCAAGGCGACGAUCAGUAGCUGGUCUGAGAGGAUGAGCAGCCACACUGGGACUGAGACACGGCCCAGACUCCUACGGGAGGCAGCAGUGGGGAAUUUUCCGCAAUGGGCGAAAGCCUGACGGAGCAACGCCGCGUGAGGGAGGAAGGUCUUUGGAUUGUAAACCUCUUUUCUCAAGGAAGAAGUUCUGACGGUACUUGAGGAAUC